AUUGAACGCUGGCGGCAUGCCUUACACAUGCAAGUCGAACGGCAGCACGGGAGCAAUCCUGGUGGCGAGUGGCGAACGGGUGAGUAAUACAUCGGAACGUGCCCAAUCGUGGGGGAUAACGCAGCGAAAGCUGUGCUAAUACCGCAUACGAUCUACGGAUGAAAGCAGGGGAUCGCAAGACCUUGCGCGAAUGGAGCGGCCGAUGGCAGAUUAGGUAGUUGGUGAGGUAAAGGCUCACCAAGCCGUCGAUCUGUAGCUGGUCUGAGAGGACGACCAGCCACACUGGGACUGAGACACGGCCCAGACUCCUACGGGAGGCAGCAGUGGGGAAUUUUGGACAAUGGGCGAAAGCCUGAUCCAGCCAUGCCGCGUGCAGGAUGAAGGCCUUCGGGUUGUAAACUGCUUUUGUACGGAACGAAACGGCCUUUUCUAAUAAAGAGGGCUAAUGACGGUACCGUAAGAAUAAGCACCGGCUAACUACGUGCCAGCAGCCGCGGUAAUACGUAGGGUGCAAGCGUUAAUCGGAAUUACUGGGCGUAAAGCGUGCGCAGGCGGUUAUGUAAGACAGUUGUGAAAUCCCCGGGCUCAACCUGGGAACUGCAUCUGUGACUGCAUAGCUAGAGUACGGUAGAGGGGGAUGGAAUUCCGCGUGUAGCAGUGAAAUGCGUAGAUAUGCGGAGGAACACCGAUGGCGAAGGCAAUCCCCUGGACCUGUACUGACGCUCAUGCACGAAAGCGUGGGGAGCAACAGG
This 752-nucleotide ribosomal RNA is filed under the name uncultured Comamonadaceae bacterium. Its description in RNAcentral is "bacterial SSU rRNA". It matches the Rfam family "Bacterial small subunit ribosomal RNA", at positions 28 to 775 of the family's 1533-position model. The record is from RNAcentral. Lineage: Bacteria; Pseudomonadati; Pseudomonadota; Betaproteobacteria; Burkholderiales; Comamonadaceae.